AUUGAACGCUGGCGGCAGGCCUAACACAUGCAAGUCGAGCGGAUGAAGGGAGCUUGCUCCUGGAUUCAGCGGCGGACGGGUGAGUAAUGCCUAGGAAUCUGCCUGGUAGUGGGGGAUAACGUCCGGGAACGGGCGCUAAUACCGCAUACGUCCUGAGGGAGAAAGUGGGGGAUCUUCGGACCUCACGCUAUCAGAUGAGCCUAGGGCGGAUUAGCUAGUUGGUGGGGUAAAGGCCUACCAAGGCGACGAUCCGUAACUGGUCUGAGAGGAUGAUCAGUCACACUGGCACUGAGACACGGUCCCGACUCCUACGGGAGGCAGCAGUGGGGAAUAUUGGACAAUGGGGGAAUGCCUGAUCCAGCCAUGCCGCGUGUGUGAAGAAGGUCUUCGGAUUGUAAAGCACUUUAAGUUGGGAGGAAGGGCAGUAAGUUAAUACCUUGCUGUUUUGACGUUACCAACAGAAUAAGCACCGGCUAACUUCGUG
This 484-nucleotide ribosomal RNA is filed under the name uncultured bacterium. RNAcentral describes it as "partial 16S ribosomal RNA". It matches the Rfam family "Bacterial small subunit ribosomal RNA", at positions 30 to 507 of the family's 1533-position model. The record is from RNAcentral.